RNAcentral lists this ribosomal RNA (1438 nucleotides) under Mycobacteroides abscessus subsp. bolletii. RNAcentral's name for it is "bacterial SSU rRNA". It matches the Rfam family "Bacterial small subunit ribosomal RNA". The record is from RNAcentral. Lineage: Bacteria; Bacillati; Actinomycetota; Actinomycetes; Mycobacteriales; Mycobacteriaceae.
GGCGGCGUGCUUAACACAUGCAAGUCGAACGGAAAGGCCCUUCGGGGUACUCGAGUGGCGAACGGGUGAGUAACACGUGGGUGAUCUGCCCUGCACUCUGGGAUAAGCCUGGGAAACUGGGUCUAAUACCGGAUAGGACCACACACUUCAUGGUGAGUGGUGCAAAGCUUUUGCGGUGUGGGAUGAGCCCGCGGCCUAUCAGCUUGUUGGUGGGGUAAUGGCCCACCAAGGCGACGACGGGUAGCCGGCCUGAGAGGGUGACCGGCCACACUGGGACUGAGAUACGGCCCAGACUCCUACGGGAGGCAGCAGUGGGGAAUAUUGCACAAUGGGCGCAAGCCUGAUGCAGCGACGCCGCGUGAGGGAUGACGGCCUUCGGGUUGUAAACCUCUUUCAGUAGGGACGAAGCGAAAGUGACGGUACCUACAGAAGAAGGACCGGCCAACUACGUGCCAGCAGCCGCGGUAAUACGUAGGGUCCGAGCGUUGUCCGGAAUUACUGGGCGUAAAGAGCUCGUAGGUGGUUUGUCGCGUUGUUCGUGAAAACUCACAGCUUAACUGUGGGCGUGCGGGCGAUACGGGCAGACUAGAGUACUGCAGGGGAGACUGGAAUUCCUGGUGUAGCGGUGGAAUGCGCAGAUAUCAGGAGGAACACCGGUGGCGAAGGCGGGUCUCUGGGCAGUAACUGACGCUGAGGAGCGAAAGCGUGGGUAGCGAACAGGAUUAGAUACCCUGGUAGUCCACGCCGUAAACGGUGGGUACUAGGUGUGGGUUUCCUUCCUUGGGAUCCGUGCCGUAGCUAACGCAUUAAGUACCCCGCCUGGGGAGUACGGUCGCAAGACUAAAACUCAAAGGAAUUGACGGGGGCCCGCACAAGCGGCGGAGCAUGUGGAUUAAUUCGAUGCAACGCGAAGAACCUUACCUGGGUUUGACAUGCACAGGACGUACCUAGAGAUAGGUAUUCCCUUGUGGCCUGUGUGCAGGUGGUGCAUGGCUGUCGUCAGCUCGUGUCGUGAGAUGUUGGGUUAAGUCCCGCAACGAGCGCAACCCUUGUCCUAUGUUGCCAGCGGGUAAUGCCGGGGACUCGUAGGAGACUGCCGGGGUCAACUCGGAGGAAGGUGGGGAUGACGUCAAGUCAUCAUGCCCCUUAUGUCCAGGGCUUCACACAUGCUACAAUGGCCAGUACAGAGGGCUGCGAAGCCGUAAGGUGGAGCGAAUCCCUUAAAGCUGGUCUCAGUUCGGAUUGGGGUCUGCAACUCGACCCCAUGAAGUCGGAGUCGCUAGUAAUCGCAGAUCAGCAACGCUGCGGUGAAUACGUUCCCGGGCCUUGUACACACCGCCCGUCACGUCAUGAAAGUCGGUAACACCCGAAGCCAGUGGCCUAACCUUUUGGAGGGAGCUGUCGAAGGUGGGAUCGGCGAUUGGGACGAAGUCGUAAC